AAUAAGUUGAAAAACACAACGAAUCUCGUACAGACCGAUUUCGUCGUGAACUAAGAGUUGUGAACGUACAAGUUCAUUUGAAGGCAUAAUGCUUUUAAAAAUUGUGUUUUGUGCUCUUGUGGGCUGUGCGUUAGUUCAGGGAUCCGAAUCCGUCAGUUCCCGUGAGUAUAACGAUGACGUUAUAGCGCGCAUUCUUGAACGAUUCAAGAAGCCGCAGGGGGGAUUCGAUGUCACAACGGGAGUUCUGGGAAAGCACCAGCCAGAGGACCAGCAGGAGAGCCAGGAGGACCAGGAGGGACUACGCAGCCUGACGAAGGGAAUCAUUGAGAUUUGCCACGGAAAUGAGAUAGUCCAGAAGAAUAAAAUUAAGUUCUAUUCUGGAAUGACGUAGUUUAGCAACAAUCCGCAACAAGCCAAAAUCCGUAAAUCGUCUGCCCAGUCUGAUCGCAUUGGCCUACAGGUAGCCAAAAAAUCAUGGAGUCAGAUCGUUACUAGUACUUUCCAUAAAUGGAAAAAAAAAAUUUUUAUACACCAAAAUCACAAUUUUUGGGCGACUUGAAAUUUUAUGCUUUUAAACAAUUAGAGAUAUCUCGGAGAAUUUUCAUAUUAUUGUAAAUAUUAUGAUAGAUUGUACUUGCCCUUCAUUUGACGAGUAAUUUGAAAAAAAAAAAAUAUGAAUAUCUUGGUUAGAACCGGAGAUAAUGAUGUUUAAGUGUUAUUUUGUUUAUUGUUGUUGUUAUCAACAUUGGGGGGUGGAAAAAAAUAUCAUCUACCUCUCAACACCCCAGGGAAUCACCGUGAAUUUUUUCAGAUCCUUAGGUGCGUUUUAUCUAAUUAAAAAAAAUUGAUUAAAGUUCGUCGAGCGUCGUCAGUCGGAGAAAUGAGACCGAGCGGCGUGGUGGGGGGUCCGAGGCCUCGCGCGCCCGGCCGUUUCUACCGCUUACUUAACAAAUCGAUUACUCCGUUAAUAAUUACCGUACAAUAGUUUAUUUUUUUUUUAACUAUGCUAUUUUUUUCUCAACAAUUCGAAUCUGAAAUUAGAUUUUCAAUAUUCAUGAAUUUUUUUUUUU
This 1070-nucleotide unclassified non-coding RNA is filed under the name Venturia canescens. RNAcentral's name for it is "uncharacterized LOC122405942, transcript variant X1". The record is from RNAcentral. Lineage: Eukaryota; Metazoa; Arthropoda; Insecta; Hymenoptera; Ichneumonidae.